This 40-nucleotide transfer RNA is filed under the name Chlamydomonas leiostraca. RNAcentral describes it as "partial tRNA". Lineage: Eukaryota; Viridiplantae; Chlorophyta; Chlorophyceae; Chlamydomonadales; Chlamydomonadaceae. The record is from RNAcentral.
UGGAAAUCUGGAAGUCAUGAGUUCGAUUCCCUUAGUCUCC